ACGCUCGACACCUACGGGAGGCAGCAGUCGGGAAUAUUGCGCAAUGGAGGAAACUCUGACGCAGUGACGCCGCGUGCAGGAAGAAGGUUUUCGGAUUGUAAACUGCUUUAGACAGGGAAGAAAAAGGACAGUACCUGUAGAAUAAGCUCCGGCUAACUACGUGCUAGCAGCCGCGGUAAUCUGAGCGGGCUGGCAAGGC
Molecule: ribosomal RNA, 199 nt
Filed under: uncultured bacterium
Lineage: Bacteria
Description: partial 16S ribosomal RNA
Rfam family: Bacterial small subunit ribosomal RNA
Source: RNAcentral